This is a long non-coding RNA of Myxocyprinus asiaticus (Chinese sucker), 4810 nucleotides long. RefSeq lists it as uncharacterized. The record is from RefSeq and is a predicted model, not a curated record. The transcript is spliced from 2 exons. Lineage: Eukaryota; Metazoa; Chordata; Actinopteri; Cypriniformes; Catostomidae.
UGCAGGAUACGUAUGGAAGGAGGUGGACAGCGAUUGAUUCUGAAGCUCCAGGCUUGUCCUUUGCUAUCAGUCUGAGUGUAUACACCCUGCAUGAUGGACUUAACUUCACGGGAUGGGCAAGUAACAUGGACAGAUUUCUUUAAGACAGUAAUUUCAAUGCUGUUGGACUUCAGGGCAAUUUGAUAUGAAACCAGCGCCUGGUGACUAAAGUGUCUUACAGUUGUAUAGACAAUGGCCUGGUAUUCACUAAAAGUCUGGUAGGCCAAAACUCCAAGGAACACCAAGGGAUUUGGGUGGUUGACAUGAAAUACUUCUGGAAAGUUGACAUACAUCCAAGGUUGUCCUACGGUGGGACCUGCUGAAGUCCAUUUAAACUAUUUUUAACAGCCUUUUGCUUAAUUAAUUUAUGCAUGCAGCUUUUAUAAGGUCAUGUUAAUUUAGAUACUUACAUGUUGUAUUUGUGCAUUUAAAAAUGUAAUUGUCUUUGUCACACCACAUGACCAUUUCAAUUGAACUAGUGGAGGCUAAAACGUAAUUAGAAGUGGUGAAAAGUAUCUAAAAUAUACACUUUCCCUACAUUCACUUAAAAGUUGAACCCAAAAUCUUUAUGCUGUUUUAAAAUGAAAUGUUCAUGGACAUGUUAUGCGUCUAUAUCUACCCAUAUUCCUUGAUAUAUCAAUCAUUUGAGUUGUACCUAAAACAAUAUCCUUCACAGGUUUGAUUGGAAUUGUACUCCCUACAUUAACUGGGGCGAACUUUGCAGAUCUGCUUGUGUUCACGAGUAACGAUAAAGAGGAAGAAAUACUUCUAUGCAUUUAAACUCCAAUUGUAUUCCUGUUUGAAACUUUUGAUGUUGCUUUUGGUGUGCUUAACGGAUCCCAUUGCUUGUUGAGGCCACAUACUUCCUUAUAUCCCCAUAUUCAGAAUCAAUCUAUGGAAUGUAAGGAAGUGUGUGGUCUUGGGGAGACAUCAACAUCAUCAUGUACUCUAUAUGUUAAAUAUGGCACCCUUGCCAUAUAUGAUCAUUAUCAUCCUAAAGCAUCACAUUGUGAAAUGUUUUUGGGAGAAUCAACUGUCAUAACCUCUUAGAUACAAACAAAUAACCAUACAAAUGUUGUUUAUGUCCUUUCUAAAGGUUAUGUCAAAGUACAUGGGUUGACUCACAUCUAGUUGAGGUCCCUCUGUGAUAUUCUAAACGGGCCGGCAGAAACUGAGUGACAGCCCACAGGUGCUGCCCACGAGCAGUAUUUACUCUUAUAAAUAGUCGGACAGGUGCCGCCAAGCUAAUUCUGGAGGGCCAUUUCUGUGAGGACAUACCGGAACAUCUAUUAACACUUUCCAUGUCAUUGUCCAGAGAAAGAAGAACAUAAUCUGGAUGGGAUUCAUCUGCUUUGAGAGCCAAAAAUGAGAUGGUCCUAGAUUCUAAACAAAAAUGGAGACAAUAAAAAAAAGACUUCUAGGACCGUAUUACAGAAUCCUUUUAUGUCUUAAGCUGAGAUCUGACAAGUUCAAAGGACGGUUCACCCAAAAAAUCAAUAAUCAUUUACUCACCCUCAUGUCGUUCCAAACCUAUACGACUUGCUUCCGUGGAACACAAAAGGAGAUGUUAGGCAGAAUGAAAGCCCCAGUCACCAUUCACUUUCAUUGUAUGGAAAAAAUAUGCAAUAAAAUUGAAUGGUGACUGAAGGCUCGGGUGUACUUUGUUUUUCUGCGUUCCGGAUCAGAUCGCGCCCGGUCGACUGUGUUGCCUUUCAAAAUAUACUCUUUUGACCACAAGCAAAUACAAAUGGUUUGACACAUGCGCAUUAUGACUGUCCACGUGCUGCCUAGAUUUUCUUGACACCAGCGCAGACUGUGCUGAUGACACAAUUUGCGUCACGCAUACUGUGCACGGAGUGAUCAGCAAGGCGGACAUCCAAAGUAUACCUUGGCCUUGAGACUAACAUACUGACUAUCACCUUCUUUUUUGUUCCACAGAAGGAAGAAAGUAAAGGUUUGGAACGACAUGAGGGCGAGUAAACCCAGACAGCACACGUACAUCUCCAGACGUCUGUUUAAGAGCAUUUCAUCAGGAAAAAGCGCUGAUUUACAAACAUUCGAAACCUCUCAAAGACAUCUGCUGAACGUCGUUUUGACAUCAGCGAGGAAAUGUAUUGCAGAUACAGACUGCAGAACAUAACGUCUUCCAGACUAAUUAAAUCUCAUAUGGGUGAUUUACGUGCGCUAUCAGGAAAACAAUGACAAAUAUUUUUUUGGGUGAACUAUUCCUUAUAAUAGAACAUGAAUAAGUACUAACUGAAUUCACCGUGGUUAAUAACAGAUCAAAUAGGAUUCUAGAGUUAAAAUGUUUCUCUAAUAUACAUUAUUCAAAGAAGCGCGCCAUCUUUGAUUUUUGACGGGAAUGAAAACGAGGCUAUGCGCGACGCAUGCGCUCCUAGAUCACAUCUAAUUUUCACAACUCGUGUUUUCCGGAGUAUUUUGUCUAAUUAAAAACUUCCAUAAAAUUGUAUUUAAAGUUUUGUGUCCGCUGAAUGUUCAGCACCAUUGUUGAAUGUUAUCCCUCACAGCCUCGUCACUUCCGUCAUAAAUCAUAUAUGGCGCUACUCUCUGUCUAAAAGGCCCUAGAAGGCCUCCACUUUUGAUAUCAGAAUCAGAAUGAGCUUUAUUGUCAAGUAUACUUACAUAUACAAGGAAUUUGUCUUGGUGACAGAAGCUUCCAGUGCACUAACAAUACAAGACAGAGAGAAUACAAAAAUAGAAUAAAAGUAAAAAGUGAAUAGUAAAUAUAAGUAUGUACAUAUAGAAAUACACAAUUAGACAAUAUAUUCAUAUAUGUAUGUACAAUAUACAAAUCUGUUAUAUACAGAUAAUGCAAGGGAAUGUAAUGGCAGAAGAGGUUGGAUAUGCUGGAUAAAUAUAAAUGGACUAAGCUGUGUAUUGCACAUAAUUAUUGCUAAAUGGGGCAGUUUUAACUGUUCAUGAGAUGGAUAGCCUGUUCCUGUGCCUGACAGUUCUGGUGCUCAGAGCUCUGAAGCGUCGGCAAGAAGGCAACAGUUCAAAAAGGUAGUGGGCAGGGUGAGUGGGGUCCAGAGUGAUUUUUCCAGCCCUUUUCCUCACUCUGGAAGUGUAUAGUUCUUGGAGGGUGGGCAGGGGGCAACCAAUAAUCCUCUCAGCCGUCCGAACUGUUCUUUGUAGUCUUCUGAUGUCUGAUUUCAUAGCUGCAUCAAACCAGACAGUUCUUGAAGUGCAGAGGACAGACUCAAUGACCAGUAGAACUGUAUCAGCAGCAUAUGAGAUUCAGUGUUAUAAAGACAGAUAUCUCCAUGAGAAAUGUUGAUGUGUGAAUAGCAUUGACGGGCAUGAAAUUUCCUUCUCACCUCUGUAAAUAUGAUGAUGAAUUUAGUAGACAAACAACCACGUCUUAGUUGCUGGUAAAACGGAACCAAGUCAGGUGUUUCAGAGAGGUUUGGUCCCUUUCAACCAGCUACUGCGCCGUGAAUUCAGCCAGCAACAUGAAACAUCUCAUUCUCACUUGAAACAACAUUACAAGUGCAAUAAACAAGUGGACUGCUUCUAAAACGACAAAAGAAUAUAAACAUCCGUACCUCAAGAGAGAUCCAAAUUUGACCUGUCAAAAUUACAUUCUUCAUCCAGAGAUGUGCAUAUUAGCAAUCAUAUUUAACAUCAAUAAUAAAAUAUUUCAAGUCUCUCUGUAAAAGCUCUAUUCUGCUCUCUACAGGAAAGCACUGGAAAAUGCUUGUGAAAUUAACCAUAAACUAUUUUUAGGCAGAGCAAAAGUAAACAAUAUGCUGUAUCUGAGGCUUACUUUAUAAUAACUUGUAUAUCAAUAUCACAUUAGUAAGCGUGCCAUUUUACUAAAUGUCAGCAGGGAACUAGCUGUUGUAUAAACAUUUAUACUCUCUUCAUCAAAUAAAAUUACACUACGCAUCUGUUUUUAAUAAAAAGCUAAAAACAUCUUUAUUAUGAAAACCAAAGGCCACUCGACAGUUAUUCGGAUAAACAAUCUGUGUACAAAUAUCAGAAAGCUAAUGAAACCCACAAAAAAUACAGUACGUGAAGAUAUUACAUCAUAUGGCAAACCAAAUAUCAUGUAAUUCAGUUCUGUGCAUGUAAUUGAUUUACUCCCUGAUUGCACUGAACUGUAUGUUCUUGAUGUGUAUAUUUCAGAAUGACUGCCAGUUCUCUGUAACAGAAUGAAAUCUGACCAAUCUGUAUCAUAAUGACAUGCGUGCGCAACGAUGUUUCUUUUUUAAAGUGAUCUGUUAACACAACUCUUGAAACACAUUGCUCACAUCUGUUUUAAUAAAGUCUCAUUUCAAAGUGUGCUCUGUGCCUGCCUUUGACUUAAUGAACAGGUUUGCACAGCUGAAACAAAAAUAAAUAGAAACCAAAUGUGUGAGAUAUUUAAACCUUCACUGGUUUUCAUAAGGUUACAUUGCAAGGAGAAGAUUUUACAGUAGAUAACACACUUUAAUAUGAAUUAAACUGUACGUCAUUUCAUUUGAAAGUCAAACAAAGACACACACACACACACACACACCACAUAAGGGGGAAUCUCACAACAUAUGCAGGUCAUAUUACACCCCAAAUACAUGAGAGAAAAAUAUAUCUAUAUUAUGCAUAAUUUUGAUUGAACCUUUUUUUGGGCCAUAAUUUUCUUUAUAUUUUGACAUUAUUUCCAUGACAAUUUAGCAUUUUAACCCCACAUUCUCAUUACUAUAAUGUGAAACACACACACACACACACACACACACACACACACACACACACACACACACACACACACACA